RNAcentral lists this ribosomal RNA (253 nucleotides) under uncultured bacterium. RNAcentral's name for it is "partial 16S ribosomal RNA". It matches the Rfam family "Bacterial small subunit ribosomal RNA", at positions 524 to 776 of the family's 1533-position model. The record is from RNAcentral.
UACGUAGGGUCCGAGCGUUGUCCGGAUUCAUUGGGCGUAAAGAGCUCGUAGGCGGCUUGGUUAGUUGGGUGUGAAACCUCCAGCUUAACCUGGAGACGCCACUCAAUACUGCCAUGGCUAGAGUCCGGUAGGGGACCACGGAAUUCCUGGUGUAGCGGUGAAAUGCGCAGAUAUCAGGAGGAACACCGGUGGCGAAGGCGGUGGUCUGGGCCGGCACUGACGCUGAGGAGCGAAAGCGUGGGGAGCGAACAGG